CCUACGGGAGGCAGCAGUGGGGAAUAUUGCACAAUGGGGGAAACCCUGAUGCAGCGACGCCGCGUGAAGGAAGAAGUAUUUCGGUAUGUAAACUUCUAUCAGCAGGGGAGAAAAUGACGGUACCUGACUAAGAAGCCACGGCUAACUACGUGCCAGCAGCCGCGGUAAUACGUAGGGAGCAGGCGUUAUCCGGAUUUACUGGGUGUAAAGGGAGCGUAGGCGGUUUAGCAAGUCAGAAGUGAAAGCCCGGGGCUCAACUCCGGGACUGCUUUUGAAACUGUUGAACUAGAGUGCAGGAGAGGUAAGUGGAAUUCGUAGUGUAGCGGUGAAAUGCGUAGAUAUUAGGAGGAACACCAGUUGCGAAGGCGGCUUACUGGACUGUAAAUGACGCUGAGGCUCGAAAGUGUGGGGAGCAAACAGGAUUAGAUACCCGUGUAGUC
This 440-nucleotide ribosomal RNA is filed under the name uncultured bacterium. Its description in RNAcentral is "partial 16S ribosomal RNA". It matches the Rfam family "Bacterial small subunit ribosomal RNA", at positions 338 to 795 of the family's 1533-position model. The record is from RNAcentral.